CCUACGGGCGGCAGCAGUGGGGAAUAUUGCGCAAUGGGCGAAAGCCUGACGCAGCGACGCCGCGUGAGGGAUGAAGGUCUUCGGAUCGUAAACCUCUGUCAGCAGGGAAGAACGGUCACUGUGCUAAUCAGCAGUGAAUUGACGGUACCUGCAAAGGAAGCACCGGCUAACUCCGUGCCAGCAGCCGCGGUAAUACGGAGGGUGCGAGCGUUAAUCGGUAUUACUGGGCGUAAAGCGCUCGUAGGCGGUAUGUCAAGUCAAGGGCAAAAUCCCCGCGCACAACGUGGGAACUGCCUUUGAAACGGGCAAACUGGAGGGUGUGGGAGGAUAGUGGAAGCCCAGGUGUAGGAGGGAAACCCG
This 360-nucleotide ribosomal RNA is filed under the name uncultured bacterium. RNAcentral describes it as "partial 16S ribosomal RNA". It matches the Rfam family "Bacterial small subunit ribosomal RNA", at positions 338 to 690 of the family's 1533-position model. The record is from RNAcentral.